CAGUAGCCACGGUAAUACGAAGGGGGCUAGCGUUGCUCGGAAUUACUGGGCGUAAAGGGAGCGUAGGCGGACAUUUAAGUCAGGGGUGAAAUCCCAGAGCUCAACUCUGGAACUGCUUUUGAUACUGGGUGUCUUGAGCGUGAUAGAGGUAUGUGGAACUCCGAGUGUAGAGGUGAAAUUCGUAGAUAUUCGGAAGAACACCAAUGGCGAAGGCGACAUACUGGAUCAUUACUGACGCUGAGGCUCGAAAGCGUGGGGAGCAAACAGGAUCAGAUACCCGUGUAGUCCCUGUCUCUUAUAC
This 301-nucleotide ribosomal RNA is filed under the name uncultured bacterium. RNAcentral describes it as "partial 16S ribosomal RNA". It matches the Rfam family "Bacterial small subunit ribosomal RNA", at positions 509 to 807 of the family's 1533-position model. The record is from RNAcentral.